Molecule: ribosomal RNA, 497 nt
Filed under: uncultured bacterium
Lineage: Bacteria
Description: partial 16S ribosomal RNA
Rfam family: Bacterial small subunit ribosomal RNA
Source: RNAcentral
GACGAACGCUGGCGGCGCGCCUAAUACAUGCAAGUAGAACGCUGAAGCGAGGAGCUUACUCUUCUUGGAUGAGUUGCGAACGGGUGAGUAACGCGUAGGUAACCUGCCUUGUAGCGGGGGAUAACUAUUGGAAACGAUAGCUAAUACCGCAUAACAAUGGAUGACACAUGUCAUUUAUUUGAAAGGGGCAAUUGCUCCACUACAAGAUGGACCUGCGUUGUAUUAGCUAGUAGGUGAGGUAAUGGCUCACCUAGGCGACGAUACAUAGCCGACCUGAGAGGGUGAUCGGCCACACUGGGACUGAGACACGGCCCAGACUCCUACGGGAGGCAGCAGUAGGGAAUCUUCGGCAAUGGGGGCAACCCUGACCGAGCAACGCCGCGUGAGUGAAGAAGGUUUUCGGAUCGUAAAGCUCUGUUGUAAGUCAAGAACGGGUGUGAGAGUGGAAAGUUCACACUGUGACGGUAGCUUACCAGAAAGGGACGGCUAACUACGUG